UACAGAGGGUGCGAGCGUUAAUCGGAAUUACUGGGCGUAAAGCGUGCGUAGACGGUUAUUUAAGUCGGGUGUGAAAGCCCCGGGCUCAACCUGGGAAUUGCAUUCGAGACUGAAUAGCUAGGGUACGGUAGAGGGAAGUGGAAUUUCCGGUGUAGCGGUGAAAUGCGUAGAUAUCAGGAGGAACACCGGUGGCGAAGGCGGGUCUCUGGGCCGAUACUGACGCUGAGGAGCGAAAGCGUGGGGAGCGAACAGG
This 253-nucleotide ribosomal RNA is filed under the name uncultured bacterium. RNAcentral describes it as "partial 16S ribosomal RNA". It matches the Rfam family "Bacterial small subunit ribosomal RNA", at positions 524 to 776 of the family's 1533-position model. The record is from RNAcentral.